GGUACGGAUUACGGAAGUGUACAACUUUCAUAUUCUUUCCUUAUCUUGCUCACAAACGCGCAUAAUUUUUCAGUUCGGCAGCCCAAGCAAUCAGAAAGUCUGAAUGGGAGUGUCCUACCGCCCUCCGCCGUACCGAAUCGCCCUCUUCGCCGACGGCGAAUUUGUCGAUCUUCAUGAUUUUUCAGAGUUUGGUUUUCCAAUCAUUGAGAAUCCAAAUUCUUAGGUUCCCUUGGAAGCUCAGUUUGGUCACCGCUCUAAUGAGGCACAAGUAUUGAUUCAUUAGCUCUUGAUCAAAAGUGAGUGAGUUGGUUGUUGCAAGUCUUGCAACGGGAAAAUUGAUCUCAAUGUGUCACUUCCUCGUGGAUGCUAUUGUCAGAGGAAUGAAGAUUCACUUUCAUGAUUGUAACCAUUCAGAUGACUGAGGAUAAUUCCCUUGUCAUAUCUCAUAUGGAUCCCACACCUACAAAAGCAUAUUCAGGGAAUGCAAGUAUGCAACUGGCAGUUUUUGUCUCGCCACUAAGAUACAUGGAGAGUUUUGCAAUCCUCUCAUUUUGUGGUAUCCCAACUCCCAAGAAUAUGCAUUAUGAAGAAGGUAAAUGAAGUAUACUUAUUUGAAUUUGACAAUGAAGGCCACCCACAUUUUCUUAAACAAGGGAUCAAACCUAUGUGUCCGAUGGAUACCUAAACUGGUCCAGACUGAUGCGGAUGAAAACAUUCAAUGUAUGAACUCAACCUAUGUGAAAUAUUCUGCAUUGUAGUGCAAACCAAUCGCCAAUCCAGUUUCCCCGAGCCUUUUCUUGUUUGUCCUUGGAACAGAAUAUUGUUAAAUUGCAGCAGUGAAUUUGUCAUUCCCUCUAACUGAGAAGAAUUCGGCUAAAACAUGUGAUUUUGGUCUGUUGUAUAAAUGAUAUCCUAAGGGACAAUAAUUUCAUAGUUUUUUCAAGGUC
Molecule: long non-coding RNA, 947 nt
Organism: Spinacia oleracea (spinach)
Lineage: Eukaryota; Viridiplantae; Streptophyta; Magnoliopsida; Caryophyllales; Amaranthaceae
Exons: 4
Source: RefSeq, a predicted model, not a curated record